GACGAACGCUGGCGGCGUGCUUAACACAUGCAAGUCGAACGGUAAGGCCCUUCGGGGUACACGAGUGGCGAACGGGUGAGUAACACGUGGGUGAUCUGCCCUGCACUUCGGGAUAAGCCUGGGAAACUGGGUCUAAUUGCGGAUAGGACCCUGGGAUGCAUGUCCUGGGGUGUAAAGCUUCUGCGGUGUGGGAUGGGCCCGCGGCCUAUCAGCUUGUUGGUGGGGUGAUGGCCUACCAAGGCGACGACGGGUAGCCGGCCUGGGGGGGUGACCGGCCACACUGGGACUGAGAUACGGCCCAGACUCCUACGUGAGGCAGCAGUGGGGAAUAUUGCACAAUGGGCGCAAGCCUGAUGCAGCGACGCCGCGUGAGGGAUGACGGCCUUCGGGUUGUAAACCUCUUUCAGCACCGACGAAGCGCAAGUGACGGUAGGUGCAGAAGAAGGACCGGCCAACUACGUGCCAGCCGCCGCCGUAA
RNAcentral lists this ribosomal RNA (478 nucleotides) under uncultured bacterium. Its description in RNAcentral is "partial 16S ribosomal RNA". It matches the Rfam family "Bacterial small subunit ribosomal RNA", at positions 28 to 523 of the family's 1533-position model. The record is from RNAcentral.